Molecule: ribosomal RNA, 496 nt
Filed under: uncultured bacterium
Lineage: Bacteria
Description: partial 16S ribosomal RNA
Rfam family: Bacterial small subunit ribosomal RNA
Source: RNAcentral
AUGAACGCUGGCGGCGUGCCUAAUACAUGCAAGUCGAGCAAACAGACGAGGAGCUUGCUCCUCUGACGUUAGCGGCGGACGGGUGAGUAACACGUGGAUAACCUACCUAUAAGACUGGGAUAACUUCGGGAAACCGGAGCUAAUACCGGAUAAUAUAUUGAACCGCAUGGUUCAAUAGUGAAAGACGGUUUUGCUGUCACUUAUAGAUGGAUCCGCGCCGCAUUAGCUAGUUGGUAAGGUAACGGCUUACCAAGGCGACGAUGCGUAGCCGACCUGAGAGGGUGAUCGGCCACACUGGAACUGAGACACGGUCCAGACUCCUACGGGAGGCAGCAGUAGGGAAUCUUCCGCAAUGGGCGAAAGCCUGACGGAGCAACGCCGCGUGAGUGAUGAAGGUCUUCGGAUCGUAAAACUCUGUUAUUAGGGAAGAACAAAUGUGUAAGUAACUAUGCACGUCUUGACGGUACCUAAUCAGAAAGCCACGGCUAACUACGUG